RNAcentral lists this ribosomal RNA (1201 nucleotides) under Corynebacterium sp. RNAcentral's name for it is "bacterial SSU rRNA". It matches the Rfam family "Bacterial small subunit ribosomal RNA", at positions 35 to 1250 of the family's 1533-position model. Lineage: Bacteria; Bacillati; Actinomycetota; Actinomycetes; Mycobacteriales; Corynebacteriaceae. The record is from RNAcentral.
GCCGUGGCGCGUGCUUACCAUGCAAGUCGAACGGAAAGGCCACAGCUUGCUGUGGUACUCGAGUGGCGAACGGGUGAGUAACACGUGGGUGAUCUGCCCUGUACUUCGGGAUAAGCUUGGGAAACUGGGUCUAAUACCGGAUAGGAAUCACAUGUGGGUGUGUGGUUGGAAAGCUUUUGCGGUAUGGGAUGAGCUCGCGGCCUAUCAGCUUGUUGGUGGGGUAAUGGCCUACCAAGGCGUCGACGGGUAGCCGGCCUGAGAGGGUGUACGGCCACAUUGGGACUGAGAUACGGCCCAGACUCCUACGGGAGGCAGCAGUGGGGAAUAUUGCACAAUGGGCGCAAGCCUGAUGCAGCGACGCCGCGUGGGGGAUGACGGCCUUCGGGUUGUAAACUCCUUUCGUCAGGGACGAAGCGAAAGUGACGGUACCUGGAUAAGAAGCACCGGCUAACUACGUGCCAGCAGCCGCGGUAAUACGUAGGGUGCGAGCGUUGUCCGGAAUUACUGGGCGUAAAGAGCUCGUAGGUGGUUUGUCGCGUCGUUUGUGUAAGUCCACGGCUUAACUGUGGGAUGGCAGGCGAUACGGGCAUAACUUGAGUGCUGUAGGGGAGACUGGAAUUCCUGGUGUAGCGGUGAAAUGCGCAGAUAUCAGGAGGAACACCGAUGGCGAAGGCAGGUCUCUGGGCAGUAACUGACGCUGAGGAGCGAAAGCAUGGGUAGCGAACAGGAUUAGAUACCCUGGUAGUCCAUGCCGUAAACGGUGGGCGCUAGGUGUGAGUCCCUUCCACGGGGUUCGUGCCGUAGCUAACGCAUUAAGCGCCCCGCCUGGGGAGUACGGCCGCAAGGCUAAAACUCAAAGGAAUUGACGGGGGCCCGCACAAGCGGCGGAGCAUGUGGAUUAAUUCGAUGCAACGCGAAGAACCUUACCUGGGCUUGACAUACACCAGAUCGGCGCAGAGAUGCGUUUUCCCUUGUGGUUGGUGUACAGGUGGUGCAUGGUUGUCGUCAGCUCGUGUCGUGAGAUGUUGGGUUAAGUCCCGCAACGAGCGCAACCCUUGUCUUAUGUUGCCAGCACGUGAUGGUGGGGACUCAUGAGAGACUGCCGGGGUUAACUCGGAGGAAGGUGGGGAUGACGUCAAAUCAUCAUGCCCCUUAUGUCCAGGGCUUCACACAUGCUACAAUGGUCGGUACAACGCGUGUG